GUCGGAUUAGCUGGUUGGCGGGGUAACGGCCCACCAAGGCGACGAUCCGUAGCUGGUCUGAGAGGACGAUCAGCCACACCGGAACUGAGACACGGUCCGGACUCCUACGGGAGGCAGCAGUGGGGAAUAUUGGACAAUGGGGGAAACCCUGAUCCAGCGACGCCGCGUGGGUGAAGAAGGCCUGCGGGUUGUAAAGCCCUUUCGGUAGGGACGAAAGCUCUUGCCUCAAUACGGCAGGAGGUUGACUUAACCUACAUAAGAAGCACCGGCUAACUCUGUGCCAGCAGCCGCGGUAAUACAGAGGGUGCGAGCGUUAAUCGGAAUUACUGGGCGUAAAGCGCACGUAGUCGGCUUUGCAAGUCGGGUGUGAAAUCCCCGGGCUCAACCUGGGAACUGCAUCCGAGACUGCAUUGCUAGAGUAUGGGAGAGGGAAGCGGAAUUUCUGGUGUAGCAGUGAAAUGCGUAGAUAUCAGAAGGAACAUCAGUGGCGAAGGCGGCUUCCUGG
This 505-nucleotide ribosomal RNA is filed under the name uncultured Gammaproteobacteria bacterium. Its description in RNAcentral is "bacterial SSU rRNA". It matches the Rfam family "Bacterial small subunit ribosomal RNA", at positions 235 to 732 of the family's 1533-position model. The record is from RNAcentral. Lineage: Bacteria; Pseudomonadati; Pseudomonadota; Gammaproteobacteria.